CAGUCCUGGGACCAAGGCCCAAAGUGAGAACAUGAAUUCUUGUUUUCCCACUUGAAUGCUGUUUUUGGCCUGCCCUUCCCCCAUCCUGUACCCAUAAAAACUCCAGGCUCCAUUGGCAGAGUGGUGGGGUGGCAGAGAAGAAGAGAAGAGAAAAAGCCAGAUGUCAGAGAGAGAAGCAGCUUGACUUCAGGGGGACAGCUUGACGAACGUAUAGAUAAAGUGAAAGACUGCUCCUAGAGAGAAGCAAUUGUGCCUGGUAAUAUAUACACAUGCUACAAAGUAUAAAAGGCACGAGAACAUGAGAAAUCAUUCUCAGUCUUAUGUCUGUAUCACGGCCAUCCUGUUUGCUACCCACAGGGUCUUUAAUGGUGUUGAACAGGUGUCAUCCUGUUUUAUAUAUCAGAGUAUUCUACAUCAAAAGGAGACUUAAGUGAUUGAGAAAAACACAGUGGAAUCCGGAAAGAAUGACACCUGAAACAAAGAUGAUUAAUGAGUUACCUCAUCGUUAUUUACACCCGGAGGACACAAGGAUGGUACUGUUGCUCUG
Molecule: long non-coding RNA, 547 nt
Organism: Pongo pygmaeus (Bornean orangutan)
Lineage: Eukaryota; Metazoa; Chordata; Mammalia; Primates; Hominidae
Exons: 5
Source: RefSeq, a predicted model, not a curated record